AAGAGAUGGAAGGCUCUCCGGCCGGCAGCUGCCUCCCGCUGCAGGCAAGAGAGCGCCUGCCUCGCCGGGCGGAGGACAGCCGAGCGACCGGAGUGACAGCAAAGGAAAGGCGGAGAGCGGGAGAAAGAAGCGUCUGCGCUGGCAAGCUCUCCCGGCAGCGCCGAGAGCCAGAGCUGCGGUGCUGCUGCGCCGAUGCUCCGUACGUUCGCAGUAACGGGUAGAGCGGAAGGCUCCGUGGCCAGGGAAGAGCGGCACGGACACGUUCCUGCUCGCUCCGUUGCACCGGAAUUUCGACGGCUGGGUUCGGCCGCUAAAUUGAUGGCGCUACCGGAAGAAAUUUCAGAGAAAUAUGAGAAAAGCUCUGUCCAGAGAUAUGGAGACGAAAUCAGUUGUACCUCACCCUGUGACACCGGAAGACAUUGAGUAACUGUAAGCUGUGAUGCUCAGUGAAAUUACUAAGAGCGUUAAGUUUCCCGUGCCUUUGCUUUCACUCUCCCAUUCUCUUGUCUUGCGGCACGUCGCAUUUGUUGAGGCCGUGGAAGCGACACCGGGAGCGAUGGGGUGUCAGAACCAGGUCCUCCUGCCUGUCGCUGGUUUUGCUUACCUUCGCCGUCUCUGUGUACCAGCCUGCAUCUCUCUCUCUGUUCCUCAAUCCCUGUCCUCUCUUCUCUGUUCUGCUUUGUUUCACUGCGUAU
Grus americana (Whooping crane) is the source of this 695-nucleotide long non-coding RNA. RefSeq lists it as uncharacterized. The transcript is spliced from 4 exons. The record is from RefSeq and is a predicted model, not a curated record. Lineage: Eukaryota; Metazoa; Chordata; Aves; Gruiformes; Gruidae.